RNAcentral lists this small nucleolar RNA (106 nucleotides) under Gossypium barbadense (sea-island cotton). RNAcentral describes it as "Plant small nucleolar RNA R71". It matches the Rfam family "Plant small nucleolar RNA R71". From Rfam's summary of the family: R71 is a member of the C/D box family of snoRNAs containing the C (UGAUGA) and D (CUGA) box motifs. Multiple nearly identical copies of this snoRNA have been identified in Arabidopsis, and it is thought to function as a 2'-O-ribose methylation guide for 18S ribosomal RNA. The record is from Rfam by way of RNAcentral. Lineage: Eukaryota; Viridiplantae; Streptophyta; Magnoliopsida; Malvales; Malvaceae. RNAcentral also lists the same sequence under 1 other name.
AAUCUAUGCAUUAGACAUUUUCGAAUUAACUUUUUAAAUCGUUCUUAAGCUUCAUAUAAUGUUUCAUCCUUAAUUACCGAAAAGAUGUGAUGUCAUUUCUAAGCUU